GUGUUUGUGGUCUAGUGGAUAUGACACUCGCCCCGACAGCGAGAGGCUGUAGGUUCGAAUCCCACCAGAGACA
Molecule: non-coding RNA, 73 nt
Organism: Anneissia japonica
Lineage: Eukaryota; Metazoa; Echinodermata; Crinoidea; Comatulida; Comatulidae
Source: the annotation of a RefSeq genome assembly